Molecule: non-coding RNA, 96 nt
Organism: Crucibulum laeve
Lineage: Eukaryota; Fungi; Basidiomycota; Agaricomycetes; Agaricales; Nidulariaceae
Source: the annotation of a GenBank genome assembly
UCGGAUGUGGUGUAAAGGUAACAUGAUGGCUAAAAUUAUUACAGAGCCUUUGCAGCCUAUAAGCCAUCGAUCCAAGUUCGACUCCUGGCAUCCGAG